AUACUGAUGACGCGUCCCAAAUAAGACGAAAUGCGCAUCCUGGAU
This 45-nucleotide non-coding RNA is filed under the name Trichobilharzia regenti. Lineage: Eukaryota; Metazoa; Platyhelminthes; Trematoda; Strigeidida; Schistosomatidae. The record is from RNAcentral.